ACAGAGGCAGCCGAAAAUCUGGUUAUAAUAGAGUAGGCA
RNAcentral lists this non-coding RNA (39 nucleotides) under unclassified sequences. RNAcentral describes it as "DUF805b RNA". It matches the Rfam family "DUF805b RNA". Rfam says of the family: Bacteroidetes, Chlorobi (1 example), Proteobacteria. The record is from RNAcentral.